GCGAUCGUAGCUCAGCUGGUUAGAGCAUCGGUUUGUGGUACCGAGGGUCGCGGGUUCAAGCCCCGUCGAUCGCCCCA
Molecule: transfer RNA, 77 nt
Filed under: Sphingomonas sp.
Lineage: Bacteria; Pseudomonadati; Pseudomonadota; Alphaproteobacteria; Sphingomonadales; Sphingomonadaceae
Also listed under: 11 other names
Description: tRNA-His
Rfam family: tRNA
About the family: Transfer RNA (tRNA) molecules are approximately 80 nucleotides in length. Their secondary structure includes four short double-helical elements and three loops (D, anti-codon, and T loops). Further hydrogen bonds mediate the characteristic L-shaped molecular structure. tRNAs have two regions of fundamental functional importance: the anti-codon, which is responsible for specific mRNA codon recognition, and the 3' end, to which the tRNAs corresponding amino acid is attached (by aminoacyl-tRNA synthetases). tRNAs cope with the degeneracy of the genetic code in two manners: having more than one tRNA (with a specific anti-codon) for a particular amino acid; and 'wobble' base-pairing, i.e. permitting non-standard base-pairing at the 3rd anti-codon position.
Source: RNAcentral